This 253-nucleotide ribosomal RNA is filed under the name uncultured bacterium. RNAcentral's name for it is "partial 16S ribosomal RNA". It matches the Rfam family "Bacterial small subunit ribosomal RNA", at positions 524 to 776 of the family's 1533-position model. The record is from RNAcentral.
UACGUAGGGUGCAAGCGUUAUCCGGAAUUAUUGGGCGUAAAGAGCUCGUAGGCGGUCUGUCGCGUCUGCUGUGAAAACUCAGGGCUUAACCCUGAGCUUGCAGUGGGUACGGGCAGACUAGAGUGCGGUAGGGGAGACUGGAAUUCCUGGUGUAGCGGUGAAAUGCGUAGAGAUCGGGAGGAACACCCGUGGCGAAGGCGGCUCACUGGGCUGACCUUGACGCUGAGGCGCGAAGGCGUGGGGAGCGAACGGG